Molecule: ribosomal RNA, 292 nt
Filed under: uncultured bacterium
Lineage: Bacteria
Description: partial 16S ribosomal RNA
Source: RNAcentral
GGACUACAGGGGUUUCUAAUCCUGUUUGCUCCCCACGCUUUCGUGCCUCAGUGUCAGGAAAGGCCCAGCCGAGCGUCUUCACCAUCGGCGUUCCAGUAGAUAUCUACGCAUUUCACCGCUCCACCUACUGUUCCCUCGGCGCCUACCUUCCUCAAGGCCCGCAGUAUGCCCCGCAGUUCCCCGGUUGAGCCGGGGGAUUUCACGGAGCACUUGCAGGCCCACCUACGCACCCUUUAAGCCCAGUAAUUCCGAUUAACGCUCGAGACCCCUGUCUUACCGCGGCUGCUGGCAC